UUAACUUAUUUGCUUUUUUCUCGAGAUGCCAACGCAGAGAAACAGAAUGUGGUAUGCUGCCGGCGGGCGGACCCGCCGAAGCAACGCGUAUACAGUAAGGUUCACAGGGUGUAAGGAGUCUUGCGAGUCCUGUAAUGAUCCCUCCGCUGGUUCACCAACGGAGA
Molecule: unclassified non-coding RNA, 164 nt
Filed under: uncultured fungus
Lineage: Eukaryota; Fungi
Description: sequence contains ITS1
Source: RNAcentral